Molecule: ribosomal RNA, 248 nt
Filed under: uncultured bacterium
Lineage: Bacteria
Description: partial 16S ribosomal RNA
Rfam family: Bacterial small subunit ribosomal RNA
Source: RNAcentral
UCGGGGCCGGGGGUACGGGGUGGGUAAGUUAAGUGUCGGUAACGGGCCGAUGGAGGGGGGUAACUACUGGAAACGGUAGCUAAUACCGCAUAACGUCGCAAGACCAAAGAGGGGGACCUUCGGGCCUCUUGCCAUCGGAUGUGCCCAGAUGGGAUUAGCUAGUAGGUGGGGUAACGGCUCACCUAGGCGACGAUCCCUAGCUGGUCUGAGAGGAUGACCAGCCACACUGGAACUGAGACACGGUCCAG